AUUGAACGCUGGCGGAAUGCUUCACACAUGCAAGUUGAACGAUGAACCUUAGCUUGCUAGGGGGAUUAGUGGCGAACGGGUGAGUAACAUAUCGGAACGUACCUAGUAAGGGGGGAUAACUAGUCGAAAGAUUAGCUAAUACCGCAUACGCCCUGAGGGGGAAAGGAGGGGAUCUUCGGACCUUACGUUAUUAGAGCGGCCGAUAUCUGAUUAGCUAGUUGGUGGGGUAAAGGCCUACCAAGGCGACGAUCAGUAGCUGGUCUGAGAGGACGACCAGCCACACUGGAACUGAGACACGGUCCAGACUCCUACGGGAGGCAGCAGUGGGGAAUUUUGGACAAUGGGGGCAACCCUGAUCCAGCCAUUCCGCGUGAGUGAAGAAGGCCUUCGGGUUGUAAAGCUCUUUCGCAAGGGAAGAAAACUUACAUUCUAAUAAAGUGUGAGGCUGACGGUACCUUGAUAAGAAGCACCGGCUAACUACGUGCCAGCAGCCGCAGUAA
Molecule: ribosomal RNA, 500 nt
Filed under: uncultured bacterium
Lineage: Bacteria
Description: partial 16S ribosomal RNA
Rfam family: Bacterial small subunit ribosomal RNA
Source: RNAcentral